Gallus gallus (chicken) is the source of this 386-nucleotide long non-coding RNA. RefSeq lists it as uncharacterized. The record is from RefSeq and is a predicted model, not a curated record. Lineage: Eukaryota; Metazoa; Chordata; Aves; Galliformes; Phasianidae. The transcript has 2 exons.
CACUGUUCCCAUAUGUAGGAUCAUCAGCAUCUGAAGCUGUUACCUGAAUAACAGAUGUACCUAAAAAUGGAAGGGAAAGACAGAAGAAAUGCAAACAGAAGCAAAUGUAUCUGUAAGAACCGUGCAGAGGUAAAGAAGUAGUUGCUGAAGAAGGAGCUAAUACACCAGAAAAGCAAUGGGAAGAAAGAAAAGCAACUCACAAAAUAAAGGUAUUAGUAAUAAUUAAUAAUUGAUGAAUGAAGAACAACUUCUUACCCUUCCCACUAGUACAGGAUCUGGUCCUGUGUACUCUUCUAUAACAAAGAACUGAUUCCACACCCAGCCUCUUUUUGAACGAUGCAAAACUUGUCCUUCUUUUCCUUUUUCAUGGUGACCGUGAAGCGAUG